AGUGAACGCUGGCGGUAGGCCUAACACAUGCAAGUCGAACGGCAGCACAGUAAGAGCUUGCUCUUACGGGUGGCGAGUGGCGGACGGGUGAGGAAUACAUCGGAAUCUACUUUUUCGUGGGGGAUAACGUAGGGAAACUUACGCUAAUACCUCAUACGACCUACGGGUGAAAGCAGGGGAUCUUCGGACCUUGCGCGAUUGAAUGAGCCGAUGUCGGAUUAGCUAGUUGGCGGGGUAAAGGCCCACAAAGGCGACGAUCCGUAGCUGGUCUGAGAGGAUGAGCAGCCACACUGGAACUGAGACACGGUCCAGACUCCUACGGGAGGCAGCAGUGGGGAAUAUUGGAAAAUGGGCGCAAGCCUGAUCCAGACAUACCGCGUGGGUGCAGAAGGCCUUCGGGUUGUAAAGCCCUUUUGUUGGGAAAGAAAAGCAGCAGGUUAAUACCCAGCUGUUCUGACGGUACCAAAAGAAUAAGCACCGGCUAACUUCGUG
RNAcentral lists this ribosomal RNA (492 nucleotides) under uncultured bacterium. Its description in RNAcentral is "partial 16S ribosomal RNA". It matches the Rfam family "Bacterial small subunit ribosomal RNA", at positions 29 to 507 of the family's 1533-position model. The record is from RNAcentral.